Molecule: ribosomal RNA, 253 nt
Filed under: uncultured bacterium
Lineage: Bacteria
Description: partial 16S ribosomal RNA
Rfam family: Bacterial small subunit ribosomal RNA
Source: RNAcentral
UACGUAGGAUGCAAGCGUUGUCCGGAAUUAUUGGGCGUAAAGAGCGCGCAGGCGGUCUAUCAAGUCAGAUGUGAAAUAUCCCGGCUUAACCGGGAGGGGUCAUUUGAAACUGGUAGACUAGAGUACAGCAGAGGAUAGCGGAAUUCCCGGUGUAGUGGUGAAAUGCGUAGAUAUCGGGAGGAACACCAGUGGCGAAGGCGGCUAUCUGGGCUGAAACUGACGCUGAGGAGCGAAAGCGUGGGGAGCGAACAGG